UCUACGGCAUACCACCCUGAACGCGCCCGAUCUCGUCUGAUCUCGGAAGCUAAGCAGGGUCGGGCCUGGAGAGUACUUGGUGGGAGACCGCCUGGGAAUACCGGGUCUGUAGUUU
Molecule: ribosomal RNA, 115 nt
Filed under: Canis lupus familiaris (dog)
Lineage: Eukaryota; Metazoa; Chordata; Mammalia; Carnivora; Canidae
Source: RNAcentral